RNAcentral lists this unclassified non-coding RNA (281 nucleotides) under Leptodontidium sp. RNAcentral's name for it is "partial contains 5.8S ribosomal RNA, internal transcribed spacer 2, and large subunit ribosomal RNA". The stretch from base 1 to 71 matches the Rfam family "5.8S ribosomal RNA", at positions 84 to 154 of the family's 154-position model. Lineage: Eukaryota; Fungi; Ascomycota; Leotiomycetes; Helotiales; Leptodontidiaceae. The record is from RNAcentral.
GUGAAUCAUCGAAUCUUUGAACGCACAUUGCGCCCCUUGGUAUUCCGAGGGGCAUGCCUGUUCGAGCGUCAUUACAACCCUCAAGCAAUGCUUGGUGUUGGGCCGCGCCGCUAACCCGGCGGGCCCUAAAACCAGUGGCGGUGCCGUCGGGCUCUGAGCGUAGUAACUCUUCUCGCUAUAGAGCCCCGGCGGAUGCUGGCCAGCAACCCCUAAUUUUCUAUGGUUGACCUCGGAUCAGGUAGGGAUACCCGCUGAACUUAAGCAUAUCAAUAAGCGGAGGA